CAUAUUUCAUUUAUUAUAGGGGGGGAACUGUCUCCUUUCUAACCCCAAAAAAACUAAUGACACCAGAAAUAGAUGAACAUUUGCACACUUUCACUUUAUAUUAAUGUGAUAAAAUAUGUGUAUUAUUUGGUGGCACAGGAAGAGCGUUUUUUAUUUCCCCCCUUCCCAAGAAAUGGUGCACAAAAGGCUAAAGAGAAGGACGAAUGGCAUCAAAUGGCUUUGUGAAGAAGGAAAUGACACAAGAGCUUAUUGUGCAAGACGUCUCAUGGACAACACAAGUUGGACUGAUGCCCUCACACUGAAGAGAUUACUAAUAAAAGCACAUGGAAAAGACCCAUCUCGCCACAAGCCGGUCUACUUUACAACAUUCUCCCACAAACAUUCCAUUGAUGUUCCUCGGGUAACCUCAGGUGUCAAGUGAGAUGAAGGACUGUGAUAAACCCACCAGUGGAAAUGUUCCUAGAUUUUAGGGGGUCUGUGUGCUUUAUGGUCUACUAUGCACUUUUAUCUGUUUCUAUUACCCUAACCUGGAAUAUCUCUGACAUGACCUACCUCAGUCUGAAAAUCUAUUUAUGAAGAUUUUUUGACAAUGAAGACCCCUAAACCAUGAGUGCAUUUCUGAGAAUCUACAUUUCCCAUGUGAUUUCUCCAAUGGUGUUAAUGACAGAUAUCACUUCAAUUUUCAGGGUAAUGUAAUAAAAACAAUAACCUUGUCAAGGCCUAGUAACCUAUAGUAGCAACAAACAAUCAGGUGUUGUAGCAAAUGCUACCGCUGAUUGGUUGUUAUGUGUUAUUAGACCAGUAGUGAACUUUGCACCUUUUUUUUUAUACCCCCAUGCUUAUGGCAGUUUUUUUUUUUUGGGGGGGUAGAUUAGAGAGGGCACUUAUCCUGGCCACAUUAGCAACAUAGGUAGGUCUGGCAUUGUCCUAGGCAGCAGACCUGUGUCCUCUAUAUCAACAACAAAGGACAGUCAUUUUUACAUUAUAAGCACCAAGGGCCACCACAUUUUAUAUCUCAGCUCUAGGCACUGGCCCAUCAAGUGCUUAUUUAGAAAAUAUGGCCCCAGAAUAUAAUAAGUUAGAUACAUUGGAAAUAUACAUCAACAAUGCUGAGCCUGCACCCCCCUGGAGAAUCUGCUGAAUCCUAGUUUUACUGAACUGUUACACCUAUAAAUGGAGGACAAUAAAAAUACAAGACGUUUUUCUCAUUGAAAUCAAAGAAAUUAUUGAACAUGUAACCACAGAAAUACAUAUUCCUAAAGUCACUGGCCAUAGAGUGUGUGUGCAUGUUAGGAACCUUACACUGAAUGAUGAUAGAGUGCUGUGUUAAGCAUACGCAAUGUAUAUAUAAAGAAUAAUAUAAAUAUUAUUAAUAAAUGAAGGAAAUAA
This is a long non-coding RNA of Xenopus laevis (African clawed frog), 1389 nucleotides long. RefSeq lists it as uncharacterized. The transcript has 2 exons. NCBI's taxonomy places the organism in Eukaryota, Metazoa, Chordata, Amphibia, Anura, Pipidae. The record is from RefSeq and is a predicted model, not a curated record.